ACGAGUAUGUCAGAGUUUGAUCCUGGCUCAGGAUAAACGCUGACAGAAUGCUUAACACAUGCAAGUCAAUGAUGGGAAGCUAAGCCUAGCUUAGAAGAAGUCAUGGCGGACGGGUGAGUAACGUGUAAAGAACUUGCCCUCUAGACUGGGAUAACAGAUGGAAACGUCUGCUAAUACCGCAUACGUUCUUGUUAUCGCAUGAUGAUGAGAAGAAAGGUGGCCUCUUGAAAAAAGCUACCACUGAAGGAGGGGAUUGCGUCUGAUUAGCUAGUUGGAGGGGUAACGGCCCACCAAGGCGAUGAUCAGUAGCCGGUCUGAGAGGAUGAACGGCCACAUUGGGACUGAGACACGGCCCAA
This 357-nucleotide ribosomal RNA is filed under the name uncultured bacterium. Its description in RNAcentral is "bacterial SSU rRNA". It matches the Rfam family "Bacterial small subunit ribosomal RNA", at positions 1 to 334 of the family's 1533-position model. The record is from RNAcentral.